Molecule: long non-coding RNA, 1170 nt
Organism: Triplophysa rosa
Lineage: Eukaryota; Metazoa; Chordata; Actinopteri; Cypriniformes; Nemacheilidae
Exons: 3
Source: RefSeq, a predicted model, not a curated record
CGUGAGGCUCGCAGCUCUGUGCAGAAGGCAUCGGGAGAGAGACAGGCGUCCUGCCGGCUCCAGGUCUGGUCUCAAAGAAAACACAAGAGAUAAGACACGGCAACACAAUGUCCCCUCAGUAGGUCUCAUUGACCGGCCCAUGGCACCGGGCAGAUCAGAACCAAUGAGUCAUUUUCACCGCCAUGCCCCUUCAUCACACGCCGAUCUCCUGUUCAACCCUUUCCACGUUCACCUGCAGUCGGCCGCAGUCACGUCUGACCUGGACGCAUGUGCAAGAUAACAUUCACAUCGGCAACGUCAAGAGAGGGGGCAAAAGGAAGCCUGACAUUAAUGAUUAACAGCCCUAAAAGCCCCUGCUUUUGUAUUCCCAUGGUGCCGAGGCUAUCUGCCGAUCAUGUGACCUGCGCCGAGGAGAUUGGGGGGAGUGAGCGCAAAAGCAAACACAGGUGUUUGGGCUGGAGUCGGUCGGUGCUGUUAGGGACAACUGCAAACACGGGCUGCCAUGCCCGCCCACAGCCCACCAGAGUCACAGACUAAAGAAUGACAACUAGGCCCAUUUUGUACCCAGAAGGCCUCUUGACCGGUUUAGGGAAGUCAACUUUUUGGUGCACUUUGACCUUGUUUUAGUUGCUCACUUUGGUUUCAAUUGCUGCAUUAAGAAAUAAAGUUGAAUCUCACGGCACAGCGUCAAAUAUUCAAAUCUACCUUCUUGUUCUUUUUUAAGUGAAAAAAAGUAUUUAAUAUGACUCGACAAUACAAUCUAUGUACUACUGUAUGUAUAAUUAGUUUGUUGAAUUUGUUGAAUCUGUGUUUAGGGUUUGGGGCGGGGCUUCAUUAUCGCUUUGUGAUAACGAUCAUACUUUUUCAUACGAAUUCACAGGAGUUUGUAACCUUGUCAAAUAAUUGCACAUUCCCGCGAGGUCAGGCUGAACUCCAUCAACUUGACUAUAUUGGGCUGCAUUAAUGAAAGAAUAUUUCAAUCAAAUCUGAAAAUGUCCUUUUGAUGCACAUGUAUGUAGGGCUGUGCAAAUAAUCGAAAAUGAAUCGUAAUCGUCAAUUUUGGCCUUCAACAAUUACAAAAACAAAAUAAUCGAGGUAAAACGAUUAUUGUGCCGCAUUACAUUUAGCAUGUAUGUUUUAUAGUUUACAGCCUACACUACACAAUAAAAG